RNAcentral lists this ribosomal RNA (151 nucleotides) under uncultured Sphingobacteriaceae bacterium. RNAcentral describes it as "partial 16S ribosomal RNA". It matches the Rfam family "Bacterial small subunit ribosomal RNA", at positions 377 to 525 of the family's 1533-position model. The record is from RNAcentral. Lineage: Bacteria; Pseudomonadati; Bacteroidota; Sphingobacteriia; Sphingobacteriales; Sphingobacteriaceae.
GGAAGCCUGAACCAUCCAUGCCGCGUGCAGGAAGACUGCCCUAUGGGUUGUAAACUGCUUUUGUCAGGGAAUAAACCUUUCUACGUGUAGGAAGCUGAAUGUACCUGAAGAAUAAGGAUCGGCUAACUCCGUGCCAGCAGCCGCGGUAAUA